This 671-nucleotide long non-coding RNA is filed under the name Phoenix dactylifera (date palm). RNAcentral describes it as "long non-coding RNA (PDAC_LNC018281)". Lineage: Eukaryota; Viridiplantae; Streptophyta; Magnoliopsida; Arecales; Arecaceae. The record is from RNAcentral.
GUUUGGUGUUUUUGAUUGCAGGGCAGGCAUUGUAUAGAGAGGAGCAGGGUUAGAGAUUGUCUGCUUGCUGUGCCGCUCCAUAGUAUAAUAUAGUAUAAUCUAGAUAGAGGUUUAUACCUUUUGGUGUAUUAUAAACCUUCUGUUGUAUAUAGUGUAUAGUUAUAGUCAUAGAUCCUGUUGUGGAUAUGGGUUUGACCAUGGAUGGAUUGGAGAGUAGGUAUAUAUAUAUAUGUGCAGAUCAGUUGUAUGCCUGUGAUGAUACAUGUGUUGUCCAGGUUAUAUUGUGACAGAUUAUGUGAUUGCUGCUCUUACAGGUAGUGUGUUGUAUGUAUUGAGAUAAUCCUGACAGGUCACUAUAGGAAAGGUGAUCAUUUUGUGCAUGCAUCAUGCCAAAAUUUUCAGAAUUUAAUAAUGAUUGAUAGGUAAUAGGGUUCUACGUGGUGGCUGGUGGCCUUAUGCCUACCCGCACCCUAGGACCGUCGCGACGGCCCGCCGGGAACGGGGCGGGGGUCGUGACAAGAAGGAAGUAUAUCAUUCCACUUAUGAUAGUUGAGCGGACACAACUGACCCCUACGCGCAACUGAUCCUAAGAAACUUGAUAAAAGGCUUCCAGCCCUCUUGAUGGGCUGCCCUAGUUCGUUGCAUUCGACGACCAUCUUCUCAUCCUCACG